Molecule: ribosomal RNA, 1143 nt
Filed under: Triticum aestivum (bread wheat)
Lineage: Eukaryota; Viridiplantae; Streptophyta; Magnoliopsida; Poales; Poaceae
Description: partial small subunit ribosomal RNA
Source: RNAcentral
AUGACGACGGUCGCCUCCCGAGUCGCUUCCAUCUGCGAAUUGAUCGACACCUUAGCCGCUGGUACAACUCUGAGCGCCAGGCGAGUUGCCGCCAUCUCCGCCAUGAUCGACGAGGUCGCCCAGGGAAGGAGGAGGAGGACCACGAGGAAGCGGCGCAUGGGCAACUCUCGCUGCUACGAGCAGGUGUGCACGCUCGGCGGGGGCACGUUCGGCGUCGUUGUCAAGGCGCGCCACCGCGCCACCGGCCAGACCGUCGCUGUGAAGACUCUCCGCAGCUUGCCCACCCAAGAAUCGGUCGGCGAGCUCCUUCGGGAGGCCUGCUUCAUGGCGGCCUGCAGCGGCCACCCCUCCCUCGUUGCUCUGCGUGGCGUCGUGCGCACACCCGGCACCAAGGGACGCAGGGACUACUUCCUCGUGAUGGAAUACGUCGGGCGCAACCUGUACCAGGUCCUCCGUGAGCGCAUCGAACGCGGUGACCGGCCGUUCCCAGAGGCUGACGUGCGCUGCAUCGUGCGGCAGCUGCUAGCCGGCGCGGAGACGAUGCACAGGAACGGCGUCGUGCACCGCGACAUCAAGCCGGAAAACAUCCUUGUCGCCCAGCACGGCGGCGGCGGCGGCAACAUCGUCAAGAUCGGCGACUACGGGCUGGCGCUCUCCACGACCGAGCAGGAAGACGGCACGGCCGGAACGAGGCACUACAUGGCGCCGGAAGUGCUGCUCGAGAAGCCGGACCGCGACACGCUCGUCGACCUCUGGUCCAUCGGCUGCGUGAUGGCGGAGCUCCUCACCGGAAAGACGUUGUUCAAGGGGGCCGACAAAGCCGACCAGCUCCACAAGAUCUUCGACGUGCUCGGCGUGCCAGGCGAGAGGGCGUCGGGGCCCGCCUUCAACUCGCCGGUCCUCGGAGAGGAGGUGCAGCUAUGGCGAGCGCGGCAACGGUCCGCUGCUGGGCCCAAGAACCGGCUGCGCAAGCUGUUCCCCAAGGCGCUGCUAUCCAAGGAAGGGUUCGAGGUCCUCCGGGGCCUCCUCACGUGCAAUCCCCUCAGGCGGCUGGAUGCCGCCGCCGCGCUCCGACUCCCGUGGUUCGUUGACACCGGUGUAAUGCCGGUCACCGCUGUCCCGACCCCGAGGCCCGGCGGCUGA